Physcomitrium patens is the source of this 2261-nucleotide non-coding RNA. The record is from RefSeq and is a predicted model, not a curated record. NCBI's taxonomy places the organism in Eukaryota, Viridiplantae, Streptophyta, Bryopsida, Funariales, Funariaceae.
AUCGCAGGAUUAAUCUCAGCUUCGGUGUCGCCAUCGCCCCUCUUGUGGGAGCUCCGUUGUGCGGCGUUCGCUCCGACGUUGGUGAUCUGGUCGCCACGAUUCAAGGGACCGUCAUUUGGUGAGGGACCGUGUAUUGUCGUGUCUGUCGGGACGGAUCGAGUGGACGCGACUGUGCUUGGGAGCGAAGCUUGGUUGUGCUUUGCCUGCGUGCUGUAUUUUGGGGAUAUUUCGGGCAUGGUUUGCGACGAGGUGGAAUUGGGAGGUUGCAUUGAUGCGUGGGCUCUGGAAUGUUUCGGAAGGAAUGACAUUAGCCUGAGGAGAUCUGUGUUUCACACACACACAUCUAUCUAUCUAUCUAUCUAUCUAUAUAUAUAUAUAUAUAAUCACACACACAUGUUCGUUUGAAGGAAUUAGGUUCGGAGUUUUAGUGUGGUGCUAGGUUACAUGAGGGUUUUUAUUACUCACAGAAUAGGAUUAUUGCAUGAUCUACUCGUGAUUCUAAAGCUUAAACCGCUGCGUGGAAUCCUUUCGCCACAGUUCUGUUGUGGAGAAGGUAGCUCUUCGUUGGGGAAGGACGUUUACAGGUGUCAUGGAGUAAACUAGUUGGAGUUCUCCCCAUAGCUAUCUUGGUCGCUUUUAACUGGGGUGGAUUAUCGACAUAUUUGAGGAAGGGGAGGUGGUCCACUAGGUCCUCGUGUUUGUAGUUUGUUUGUCCAAUAGAUUUCAUAAGUGAAGUUGUAUUGCGUCACACGCUUUGAAGCUUGAUUGGUGCAUCCCAUUCCUGUACCUCGAAGUAGAAUUUACCAUAGGUUAGCUAUCAGAGUUUGGUCGUUGUGAGCUCUUCAGGAGAGAGUGAUCAGUUUAAGAAGGCUGGUCGCAUUCUGUUCCAAUGGAAAACGCACCUGGAGGAGAUGCAGAGCUUGUGUGUAAGACACUUCAGGUGGAGCACAAGCUUUUCUAUUUUGAUUUGAAAGAGAACCCUCGUGGUCGGUAUUUGAAGAUUUCUGAGAAGACUUCCGGUUCUCGAUCUACUAUAAUUGUUCCCGUCGCGGGCAUAGUUUGGUUUGUGGACCUCUUUAAUUAUUACGCUAAUGGUGAGGAGGAACUCUCAAGCAAGGAGCUACAGCUGGACACUAAGGUGUUUUACUUCGAUGUUGGGGAGAAUCAGAGGGGUCGUUUCUUGAAGGUGUCUGAAGCCUCGGUGACCCGUAACCGCAGCACUAUCAUUGUGCCUGCCGGGAAUGCAGCUGAUGAAGGUUGGGCGGCAUUUAGGAAUAUCCUGGUCGAAAUACACGAGGCGUCUCAACUUCUACUGCCACCGACAGCUAGUUCUGGGCCCCUUCAGCCUGUGCAGCAAGGUACUAGUUCACAGGAACACAUGGGUGUUAUGUCAGAUAAUGUUGGUUCUGGAUACCUUCCUAGCACCUCCUCUCCAAUUGCUUCAGCGAGCACUGUUCCACUCCCUGAGGUGGGCUCUUCCAAUGUGGGUUUGGCCGGAGGAGGUCUGGCUACUGCACGUGUUAUUCGAGCUGAACAGAAGAAAUUCUUUUUUGAUCUUGGCAGUAAUGCUAGAGGGCAGUACCUUCGGAUUUCGGAGGUCACAGGUGUAGAUCGGUCUGCUAUUAUUUUACCAGUAGCUGCGCUGGCUCAGUUUCAUGAGACCCUGGGGCAAUUUGUUGAGGUGGUGAAGAGUCAAGGCCCGAUAGGCCCAAAUGUGGCGAACGUACGCACCAUUGCACCCCCACGGAACAGAGCUGAGAGCUGAGGGUAGGGCAACGUUAUGCUGAGACAGAGACAAUAAUUUGAGAUUGGUGCGGGAGCCAAAUUGUCCAUGCUGGAGAACUAUCCUAGGAGCUUGGGUGGCCAAAUGAUCCCAUCAUCACCGAUACACUUGCACCAACAUACUUACUACAGCGGUUGUACUAUCUUUUUACAUUUGUAAGAAAUUGUACAUGAUAGAUUUUUGUCGUCUCAUUUUAUUUUAAUUGUGUUUGUCGUAUUUUUUUCCUCCUACAAAUCACAUUCCUUCUCCCUUCCCUUCUCCUUCCCUAGCAUUCCACCUGAAACAUCGAUCCAUGUUAUUUCCCGUAAGGCUGAAAUGUUCCACAAAGUCUAUUCCUGUUUCUGGUAUUCGUGAUAAGUGCCACAUUUGUCCGUCAAGUUUGUUGCUGCAGUAUCAAGUCUGUUUUUAUGUUCUGAACUGAACAGGGUUGUCAUUUUGAAUCACGAGCAAAUAGAUGAUAGCUAAGAUUUCCACAAGA